GCCCUCGUAGCCCAACUGGCAGGAGGCACGGUCUUGAGGGGACCGACAGUAGGCGUUCGAAUCGCCUCGAGGGCAC
Molecule: transfer RNA, 76 nt
Filed under: Actinocatenispora sera
Lineage: Bacteria; Bacillati; Actinomycetota; Actinomycetes; Micromonosporales; Micromonosporaceae
Description: tRNA-Leu
Source: RNAcentral